RNAcentral lists this non-coding RNA (22 nucleotides) under Arabidopsis thaliana (thale cress). The record is from RNAcentral. Lineage: Eukaryota; Viridiplantae; Streptophyta; Magnoliopsida; Brassicales; Brassicaceae.
AUGAAUACCUCCGUAUUGGUGA